GUUCCUUGAAUUACUCAAUUUCACUCUGAGGCCCCACAAUGCGUUCAAAUAUUGUAGAAGCCGUCAACUGACAAACCCUGGAAUACCCAACAAUGAGGGAGAGGCAUUUAAAUUGCUAUUAUCCCUGCAGUAGGGUAUAUGUUAGCACUUUAAACGCCAUAUGUUCUAGGAAUUCUCACCAAGAUGAGAAAACGUUCACAAUGUAUCAUUAAGAAAGAAGCAAGAAAAAAAAAAGAAAGCAAGAAACAAAUAUAUAUAGAAUGAUCCCACUUAUGAACCAUAUAUAUGGAGCAAAAAAAUACAUAGACAGUCCUGGAAGAUACAUGCCAAAUAACGGUGGUUCAUCAUUUCACUGUAGAAGGAAAGGUGAUUUGGUUCUCUCUUUUGAGUAUUUUCCAAAAGAAACAACUAUGCUCACAGAGAAUUGUUACUUUAAUAAUGAAUACAUAAAUAUUUGUUGAACAAGUAAAUUCCGGUAGACUAUUUUCCUAUUACAUGUUAGGUUGGCCCAUUUCUAGCGACUCCGAAAUGGAAUGCACAUUCAUUCAUUCUCUCCCCAUUUCUUCCUCCCCUUUCAAGUUCCUGUACCUCUUUCUUUCCUUUUUUCCAGUAAAUAUUUAUCAUGUGCCCAUUGUCUGCCAGCAAUGUGCUAGAAGCAGCAAGUACAACGGAGCUUACAGACUUCAUCCUUCUCAUAUAAAAGGGAUGAGUUUAAAAAGAAAAUCACCACUGUUAUAAUGCAAAAUGGUAAGGAUACAUAGUCUAAUAAAACUAAUCGAUGUAUUUUAUGAGACCAGAAAAGUUUUCUCUGAGAAGCUGCUGCUUGAGUUGUCAAUAGGUUUGACUAGACAGAGAGUAUUUCUGAGAAAUUAAGUUGGUAUCCAAGGGUCCUGUGAUGAAAAAGGGUAGGUAGGAAAAACUGAAGCAAAGCCAGAUUUGCUGGAAGAGCAAGGAAGUAGGAGCCGUGAGAUGAAAUUGAAAAGACUGGUAAAGUGACAAAAAUGGAAGAACCAUACUGGCCGUCUUGGAAAUCUUUUUAUCUUAAAUGCAAAGUGAAUACCCUGGCAUGCUCAGCAAAGGAGGUGGCAUGCUCAGAAUGGCAUCUUAGAAAGACUUCUCAUAGGAAGGAGGCCAGGAGGAUUCAGGAGCGGUCUCCAUGGCAAGAGGUAAAAUCCUGGUCUAGGCAGGAUGAUAAUCCUGGAAACAGUAAAUGAAAGGGUCUGAGGACCGUGGGGCAGUGAAGGAGGAGUCCUCAAGGAACGUGCAUAGGCUUCUGCCUUGUGGCCAAGGAUGGACAUGGGUGCUGGUUCGCCCAGAUGGAUGUCUUAGGAAAGGACCAGGCUAGAGUGGAAAAAUUGUGCGAAUAGGUUGUUUGGUUGUUGAAAGUUUUUUGAGAUGCUCAAAAGAGAUGCUAAUUUGGUGUGGGCUAGACAGACCUGGAGCUCAGCUACGUAAGAGAUGAAUCAUCCACAGAGUGCUGACUGGAAGCCUUGGGUAUGGAUGAGUUAACAGGAGAAAAGGGUCUAGAGCCAGGCCUGAGGAAUUUCAGCAUGGAGUGGCGAGCCUGCCAUGCCGCUGCCAGAGGAAGUAACAGAAAACCCAGGAAAGGGACGGGAGAAGAAAGCAAUCAAUAAUCUCAACCAUAAGAGGAAGAUUAAAAUACUGAAGCAGUAGAACCGGAGUUGGAUUAGAGUGGGCCGAGGAAUGGAUGGGAGAGGAGAAAGGGGACACGAUGAGCUCAGAUGAGCAGGGCAGGGAAGAGAGACACAGGCCAAGUUUACAUGGGAUGGGAGCUCUCUUGAGAGGGAGAAGUUUCAUAAACAAGAAAGAGAAGAAGCAUGGGAGAAUGUGACUGGGGGGAGAGGUGAACGUACCUCAGGUACCUCCUACUCCCUCCAGACAAGUUCCAGAUCUGGACUUGGCAGAAGACAAUAUAAUCCUCUGGUGCAGUUGCAAAGUGCACUCCAGCAACAGCUCCACAGGUUCAUGCCCAGUACUGCAAUGCUGUUAACAGCUUCUUUCUCUUUAUUUUUUUAAGAGAAAAAGUAACUAGUGAUAGUUAUUGGUAAUAGGUAAAUACAAAGUUUUAGAAAAGUCUAGCUCUAUGGGAU
Molecule: long non-coding RNA, 2111 nt
Filed under: Heterocephalus glaber (naked mole-rat)
Lineage: Eukaryota; Metazoa; Chordata; Mammalia; Rodentia; Bathyergidae
Description: lncRNA (ENSHGLG00000050473.1)
Source: RNAcentral